Molecule: ribosomal RNA, 408 nt
Filed under: uncultured bacterium
Lineage: Bacteria
Description: partial 16S ribosomal RNA
Rfam family: Bacterial small subunit ribosomal RNA
Source: RNAcentral
GACGAACGCUGGCGGCGUGCUUAACACAUGCAAGUCGAACGAAGUGGCGAACGGGUGAGUAAUGCGUAAUCAACCUGCACUUCAGAGGGGGACAACAGUUGGAAACGACUGCUAAUACAGCAAACUGAAGGAGGGGAUUGCGUCGGAUUAGCUAGUAGGAGGGGUAACGGCCCACCAAGGCGAUGAUCAGUAGCCGGUCUGGGAGGAUGAACGGCCACAUUGGUACUGAGACACGGCCCAGACUCCUACGGGAGGCAGCAGUGGGGAAUCUUCCGCAAUGGACGGAAGUCUGACGGAGCAACGCCGCGUGAGUGAUGGCGGCCUUCGGGUUGUAAAGCUCUGUUAAUCGGGACGCGGUACCGGAAUAGAAAGCCACGGCUAACUACGUGCCAGCAGCCGCGGUAAUUC